GGGCUUCGGCAGCACAUACACUAAAAUUGGAAUGAUACAGAGAAGAUUAACAUGGCCCCUGCGCAAGGAUGACACGCAAAUUGCUAAAAAAAAUAAAUAAAAUA
RNAcentral lists this small nuclear RNA (104 nucleotides) under Bos mutus (wild yak). Lineage: Eukaryota; Metazoa; Chordata; Mammalia; Artiodactyla; Bovidae. The record is from RNAcentral.